GUGCUCACUUCAGCAGCACAUAUAAUAAAAUUAGAAGGAUACAAGAAGAUUAGCAUGGACAUUCGUAAAGCAUUCCAUAUUUUU
Molecule: small nuclear RNA, 84 nt
Filed under: Jaculus jaculus (lesser Egyptian jerboa)
Lineage: Eukaryota; Metazoa; Chordata; Mammalia; Rodentia; Dipodidae
Source: RNAcentral